Molecule: ribosomal RNA, 497 nt
Filed under: uncultured bacterium
Lineage: Bacteria
Description: partial 16S ribosomal RNA
Rfam family: Bacterial small subunit ribosomal RNA
Source: RNAcentral
GAUGAACGCUGGCGGCGUGCCUAAUACAUGCAAGUCGAGCGAACAGACGAGGCUCUUGCUCCUCUGACGUUAGCGGCGGACGGGUGUGUAACACGUGGAUCACCUCCCUAUCAGACUGGUAUCACUUCGGGACACCGGCGCUUAUACCGGAUAAUCUCUUGCACCGCAUUGUUCAAUAGUGAAAGACGGUUUUUCUGUCACUUCUCGCUGCUUCCGCGCCGCAUUAGCUGGUUGGUACGGUAACGGCUUACCAAGGCAACGAUGCGUAGACGACGUGAGAGAGUGAUAGGCGACACGGGAACUGAGACAGGGUCAAGACGCCUAAGGGAGGCAGCAGUAGGGAAUCGUACGCAAUGGGCGAAAGCCUGACGGAGCAAGGGGGCGCGAGAGAUGAAGGUGUUGGGAGCGGAAAAAUCGGUUAUUAGGGAAGAACAAAUGUGGAAGUAAAUAAGCAGGGAGUGACGGUACCUAAUCAAAAAGCAACGGCUAACUACGUG